This 822-nucleotide ribosomal RNA is filed under the name Cetrariella fastigiata. RNAcentral's name for it is "SSU rRNA". It matches the Rfam family "Bacterial small subunit ribosomal RNA", at positions 360 to 1152 of the family's 1533-position model. The record is from RNAcentral. Lineage: Eukaryota; Fungi; Ascomycota; Lecanoromycetes; Lecanorales; Parmeliaceae.
AAUGUAUAGCAAUAGCUACUUGCAUCAUUGUAAAUAUGAUGCAAGAUCGACUAUGUCGAAUAAAAUUCUAGGUAGAAUUAUGAUAAUGACAUUGUCUGCCUAGGUGUCUUGACCAAAUUACGUGCCAGCAGUCGCGGUAAUACGUAAAAGACUAGUGUUAUUCAUGUUUAAUCGGUUUAAAGGGUACCUAGACGGUAAAUCAAGCCUAAAAGGAAAUAAAUGAAGGGACUAAUUUACUAGAGUUACUUAUGAGGGGGUAUUAAAGUACUGCUGGUGUAGAGAUGAAAUUCUGUCAUACCUCUUUUCAAUAGAAAAAUAAUGGCACAGGUAUAGGCGAAAGCAUCCCCUUAUGUGAUAACUGACGUUGAGGGACGAAGGCUUUGUGUAGCGAACAGGAUUAGAUACCCCAGUAGUCAAAGCAGAAAAUGAUGAAUGUCAUAGAUUANAUAUAUAAGUUUAUUCUAUAAAUGAAAGUGUAAGCAUUCCACCUCAAGAGUAAUUUGGCAACAUUGGAACUGAAAUCAUUAGACCGUUUCUGAAACCAGUAGUGAAGUAUGUUGUUUAAUUUGAUGAUCCGCAAAAAACCUUACCACAAUUUGAAUAUUUAUAUCUUUUAUUGUUUUUCUUUUUAACUUUCUUCUUAUUUUCUACUUAAAAGAAAACAAUUACAAGAAAAAAGAGGCAAUAAGAUAUAUUUACAAGCGUUGCACGGCUGUCUUCAGUUAAUGUCGCGAGACUAUGGUUAGUUCCAUUAAAUUAACGUAAACCCUUACUUUAUUUUUAUAUAGAGUAGUUCCCCGCUAUAUUGGAUAUGAUAACAGG